GGGAGUAGAUGAGUGCUGGUGUGCUCCCCGGUCUUCAACACCGCGUGUUGGGCGUUAGUAGCGUCCUAGGUGGGUUCGAUUCCCACAUAUUCCCGCCA
Molecule: transfer RNA, 98 nt
Filed under: Sedimentibacter sp. zth1
Lineage: Bacteria; Bacillati; Bacillota; Tissierellia
Description: tRNA-Sec
Rfam family: Selenocysteine transfer RNA
Source: RNAcentral